GAUGAACGCUGGCGGCGUGCCUAAUACAUGCAAGUCGAGCGAACAGACGAGGAGCUUGCUCCUCUGACGUUAGCGGCGGACGGGUGAGUAACACGUGGAUAACCUACCUAUAAGACUGGGAUGACUUCGGGAAACCGGAGCUAAUACCGGAUAAUAUAUUGAACCGCAUGGUUCAAUAGUGAAAGACGGUUUUGCUGUCACUUAUAGAUGGAUCCGCGCCGCAUUAGCUAGUUGGUAAGGUAACGGCUUACCAAGGCAACGAUGCGUAGCCGACCUGAGAGGGUGAUCGGCCACACUGGAACUGGGACACGGUCCAGACUCCUACGGGAGGCAGCAGUAGGGAAUCUUCCGCAAAGGGCGAAAGCCUGACGGAGCAACGCCGCGUGAGUGAUGAAGGUCUUCGGAUCGUAAAACUCUGUUGUUAGGGAAGAACAAAUGUGUAAGUAACUAUGCACGUCUUGACGGUACCUAAUCAGAAAGCCACGGCUAACUACGUG
RNAcentral lists this ribosomal RNA (497 nucleotides) under uncultured bacterium. RNAcentral's name for it is "partial 16S ribosomal RNA". It matches the Rfam family "Bacterial small subunit ribosomal RNA", at positions 28 to 507 of the family's 1533-position model. The record is from RNAcentral.